RNAcentral lists this ribosomal RNA (44 nucleotides) under Vibrio crassostreae. Its description in RNAcentral is "partial 16S ribosomal RNA". Lineage: Bacteria; Pseudomonadati; Pseudomonadota; Gammaproteobacteria; Vibrionales; Vibrionaceae. The record is from RNAcentral.
ACAAGGUAGCCCUAGGGGAACCUGGGGCUGGAUCACCUCCUUAU